RNAcentral lists this ribosomal RNA (352 nucleotides) under Yersinia rohdei. RNAcentral describes it as "partial 23S ribosomal RNA". It matches the Rfam family "Bacterial large subunit ribosomal RNA", at positions 1 to 389 of the family's 2925-position model. The record is from RNAcentral. Lineage: Bacteria; Pseudomonadati; Pseudomonadota; Gammaproteobacteria; Enterobacterales; Yersiniaceae.
GGUUAAGCGACUAAGCGUACACGGUGGAUGCCUAGGCAGUCAGAGGCGAUGAAGGGCGUGCUAAUCUGCGAUAAGCGUCGGUAAGCUGAUAUGAAGCGUUACAACCGACGAUACCCGAAUGGGGAAACCCAGUGCAAUUCGUUGCACUAUUGCAUGGUGAAUACAUAGCCAUGCAAGGCGAACCGGGGGAACUGAAACAUCUAAGUACCCCGAGGAAAAGAAAUCAACCGAGAUUCCCCUAGUAGCGGCGAGCGAACGGGGAAGAGCCCAGAGUCUGAAUCAGUUUGUGUGUUAGUGGAAGCGUCUGGAAAGUCGCAGGGUACAGGGUGAUACUCCCGUACACAAAAACACA